GAUGAAGAACGCAGCGAAAUGCGAUAAGUAAUGUGAAUUGCAGAAUUCAGUGAAUCAUCGAAUCUUUGAACGCACAUUGCGCCCCUUGGUAUUCCGAGGGGCAUGCCUGUUCGAGCGUCAUUAUAACCCUCAAGCUCAGCUUGGUGUUGGGGCCUGCUGCACUGGCAGCCCUUAAAAUCAGUGGCGGCGCCAUCUGGCUCUAAGCGUAGUAAUUCUUCUCGCUAUGGAGUCCUGGUGGAUGCUUGCCAUCAACCCCCAAUUUUUCUAUGGUUGACCUCGGAUCAGGUAGGGAUACCCGCUGAACUUAAGCAUAUCAAAAGCGGAGGA
RNAcentral lists this unclassified non-coding RNA (327 nucleotides) under soil metagenome. Its description in RNAcentral is "partial contains 5.8S ribosomal RNA, internal transcribed spacer 2, and large subunit ribosomal RNA". The stretch from base 1 to 120 matches the Rfam family "5.8S ribosomal RNA", at positions 35 to 154 of the family's 154-position model. The record is from RNAcentral.